UUUCUUUAUUUCCUUGACUUGCAGUUAGUAUUAACUGACCAAAAGCAUUAUCUUCCUCUUUUUGCUUUUUUAUGAAGUUUUGGUAGGUCGUGUUAAUAAUACCCAUUACUCAUUUCUCUGAUAAGAUUAUAGAACUGCAAGGUCUUGGAUGACAUUGGCCUGCUCCUUCUGUUACGGGUGGGUCUUUGUUCUUAGAGCUCCCAAGAUGGUGGUUGGCCACUCCCAAGAUGGUCGUGGGCCACUCCCAAGAUGGUGGCAAGCCUUUUGUUGUCUGACCUGGGGUUCUUGGCCUCACAGAUUCCAAGGAAUGGAACCUUGGGCCAUGCGGUGAGUGUUAUAGCUCUAUUAGAAGCCGUGGGUCAUGGAAGAGAACCGUGGAACCCAGCAACUAGUGUUCAGCUCGAUUAGGCUGAACCUGAGCACUUAGCCAUGCAGGAACAAUGGCGAGCCUCUAGCCCGAUCGGGAGUGGCGAUGGGCACCUCGCUGGAUCAGAAGGUCAGUGGACACCCUGCUGGAUCCGGAGAGGUGGGAGUCAAUGGUGGGUCUGUGAUGGUGGCAUUCAGCAGUGGUGGACUGUGAAUGAAAGCUCAGCUCGAGCCAGAACAAACACGGACCAGAAGAGUGUGCAGUUGCAAGAUUUAAUAGAGUGAAAACAGGGCUCCCAUACAAGGAGAGAGGACCCAAACAGGGUUGCCCACACCUGGCUCGAAUGCCUGGGGUUUAUAGCCUGAUCAUUGUCCCUCCCUCUGUGCUCUCAGGCAAUAUAUGAUUUGACUAUUUCUUUACCUCCUGCUUUUAGCCCAAUUUGUAUUUUAGUGAGCCCUCUUUACUACCUGAUUGGCCGGGUGUGAGCUGAGUUACAAGCCCUGUGUUUAAAGGUAGGUGCGGUCACCUUCCCCAGCUAGGCUUAGGAAUUCUUAGUCGGCCUAGGAAAUCCAUCUAGUUCUGUCUCUCACUUCCUUUGAUUUUGAAGUAAACAAUCUCUUAACUUUGGGAUAGCCUGAGACACCACCUCUGACUUCUAAAUGACUCAAUAUCCCGAAAACCCGUGGUAAUCUCAGUCCGUCUCAGCUGGUUCCAAUUAACCUCUUUCCAAGCUAUCUGUGUGGGCCUGCUUUAGCCUUUUAAAAGGAACCAGACGUUUUUAGUCACAAUGGAUGCAUAUGAUAGCAUGGUUUACCUCAGAUAUGCUGUGGGUUAGCUUCUAUAGGCUUUCUUAUAUUUAAUGCUUUCCCCUGACUUCACAUUUAAUGCUUUUCCAAAAAUUUCCCAACAUCACUAAGGCUUCAGCAGCCCUUUAGGACCAGUAUUUCUGGGAAAACACUCAAAAUACAUCUGAAUCUGUGUCGUAUAUCAUCACCUAGAGCAUGCCACCAUCUAGUUUCAGCAAAAUCCUAGUGAUUCCACCAGACAAGAAAGAUUGCCUCACUGGGAGACAGUUGCUGAUUCCUGUUGCCCUUCACUGGUCUACUUUGAUAAUUGGCAUAUGCCUUUCCUGCGGCAUUUUAUCACAUAAAGCUUUGCUGUUUUUAUCUGUGUUCAUGUCUUUCUCUCUAGAUGUAUCAUUAAAGGCAAAAACAAUAUUCAUUUAGUGUUCUUCUUACCUGUCCUUCUCUCCCCAAUACUGGAAUCCUAACACCAUGCAUUGCACUUUUUUGGUGUUCAGGGUUCUAGGAAAGCUGGUAAAUGGAUGAAUCAUAAAUGUAAUUUGGGGCAAUUUUUUCACAAAAUGUGUCACCUAUCUUUGUCUUUUCUCUGCCCACUCAUACUGGCUUUCUGUGGCUUCUCCCCAUCUGUCUAGCAUUUCUCUCUACCUCUGAAGAAUAUCAGUCUGGUGCAGCCCUAGCACCUUCUUUGGACUCAUUGUUAAAGAUGUUGAGGAAGGCUAGCUCCAAGGUUUACCGUUUGCAUUUAGAGAACUGUCUUACCAUGCCUGGUUUCUUCAGCCCUGAUAAGACUAUGCCAUCUUCACCCUCCCUUCCCCUGACCCUUCCUUAGCCACCUCAUCCAACCUAUGGCAACUCAACAAGAAAAGCUUACAAAGUCUUCCUUGGCAAAAGAGCUGGUUGACUUGAGCCAAAGGAAGCUAGGUGCAGUGUCCGAUUCACUCCCCCAAAUCCCCCUUGAAACUGGAGAAUUGAAAACAAUCUGGUUUCUCUCUGGGUUCUUUCAUUAUACCAUGUUUUCUUGCAUAUAGACAGAAUAAUGUGGUUGUUACAAUUAUUUAUAAAUGUAGUGUAUGCCAGGAACUGAUCACUGUGUGUAACGGAUACACC
RNAcentral lists this long non-coding RNA (2277 nucleotides) under Homo sapiens (human). RNAcentral describes it as "non-protein coding lnc-TNFAIP8L3-1:1". Lineage: Eukaryota; Metazoa; Chordata; Mammalia; Primates; Hominidae. The record is from RNAcentral.